This 457-nucleotide ribosomal RNA is filed under the name uncultured bacterium. RNAcentral describes it as "bacterial SSU rRNA". It matches the Rfam family "Bacterial small subunit ribosomal RNA", at positions 37 to 518 of the family's 1533-position model. The record is from RNAcentral.
UGGCGGCGUGCCUAACACAUGCAAGUCGAGCGAGAGACUUCGGUCUCUAGCGGCGGACGGGUGAGUAACACGUGGGUAACCUGACCUCAAACAGGGGGAUAGCCUUCCGAAAGGAAGAUUAAUACCGCAUAACAUAGUUUAACCGCAUGGUUAGAUUAUCAAAGGAGUAAUCCGGUUUGAGAUGGACCCGCGGCGCAUUAGCUAGUUGGUGAGGUAACGGCUCACCAAGGCGACGAUGCGUAGCCGACCUGAGAGGGUGAUCGGCCACAUUGGAACUGAGAUACGGUCCAAACUCCUACGGGAGGCAGCAGUGGGGAAUAUUGCACAAUGGGCGAAAGCCUGAUGCAGCAACGCCGCGUGAGUGAUGAAGGCCUUCGGGUUGUAAAGCUCUGUCUUUGGGGACGAUAAUGACGGUACCCAAGGAGGAAGCCACGGCUAACUACGUGCCAGCCGCCGC